UGGGGAAUUUUGGACAAUGGGCGAAAGCCUGAUCCAGCAAUGCCGCGUGUGUGAAGAAGGCCUUCGGGUUGUAAAGCACUUUUGUCCGGAAAGAGAUGGCUCUGGUUAAUACCUGGGGUCGAUGACGGUACCGGAAGAAUAAGGACCGGCUAACUACGUGCCAGCA
Molecule: ribosomal RNA, 166 nt
Filed under: uncultured Burkholderiaceae bacterium
Lineage: Bacteria; Pseudomonadati; Pseudomonadota; Betaproteobacteria; Burkholderiales; Burkholderiaceae
Description: partial 16S ribosomal RNA
Rfam family: Bacterial small subunit ribosomal RNA
Source: RNAcentral